Nyctereutes procyonoides (raccoon dog) is the source of this 5422-nucleotide RNA transcript. It is a transcript of the gene named protein phosphatase 1 regulatory subunit 3E, with no coding region annotated. Lineage: Eukaryota; Metazoa; Chordata; Mammalia; Carnivora; Canidae. The record is from RefSeq and is a predicted model, not a curated record. The transcript is spliced from 3 exons.
CCGGAAGGGGGAUCCCCGCCCCCGGUACACUGCGAAGACUGACGGGGAGCCCCAUAUCAGCGGACUGUGGGCGGGGGCCGGGGCGAGAGGGCCGCGGCACCGGAGGGUGAGCGCCGCUGAGCGCACGCUCAGAGCAGACGGCCCGCAGGAGGCAGGAGAUGAUGGUCUACAACCCGGGGAGCUGGCAGCCAGAGCGGGGGGGAAGGUAGUCACGGAGGGGAGACAGGGCUACAGGAGGUGGAGAUCCUGGAGGUGACAGCAAGGAGAGUACGCAGCGGCAGCGGCAGCGGCAGCGGCAGCGGCAGCGGCAGCGGCGAGGGGCGGCUUCGGCGCGGACGCCGGGCGGUCGGGGGAGAGGAGAGCAGGGCAACGCGGCGGCGCGGCAGGAGGGCCCGGCCGGGCGGGGGGUGCCAUGUCUCGAGAGCGGCCCCCCCGCACCGACAUCCCCCGCAACCUGAGCUUCAUAGCCGCGCUGACAGAGCGUGCCUACUACCGCAGCCAGCGGCCCAGCCUCGAGGAGGAGGAGCCGGAGGUGGAGCCCGGCGAGGGCGGGACGCGCCUGGGGGCCCGAUCCCGCGCUCACGCCCCGAGUCGGGGUCGCCGCGCUCUUUCUGCUCCCGCCGGAGGCGGCGGCGUCCCGGCGCCCCGCAGCCGCAGCCCCGACACCCGCAAGAGAGUGCGUUUCGCCGACGCGCUUGGGCUGGAGCUGGCCGCGGUGCGCCGCUUCCGCCCCGGAGAGCUGCCCCGGGUGCCUCGCCACGUGCAAGUGCAGCUGCAGAGGGACGCCCUCCGCCACUUCGCGCCGUGCAGGCCUCGCGCCCGCGGCCUCCAGGAGGCGCGCGCCGCCCUGGAGCCGGCCCGGGAGCCCGGCUUCGCCGCCCGCUUGCAGGCGCAGCGCAUCUGCCUGGAACGCGCCGAGGCGGGCCCGUUGGGCGUGGCCGGGAGCGCGCGCGUGCUGGACCUGGCCUACGAGAAGCGCGUGAGCGUGCGCUGGAGCGCCGACGGCUGGCGGAGCCAACGCGAAGCGGCCGCCUCCUACGCCGGCCCGGCCCCGCCCCCGCCGCGCGCGGACCGCUUUGCCUUCCGCCUGCCCGCGCCACCCAGUGGGGGCGCCCUGCUUUUCGCCUUGCGCUACCGCGUGACCGGCCACGAGUUCUGGGACAACAACGGCGGCCGCGACUAUGCGCUACGUGGGCCCGAGCACCCCGGGAGUGGCGGAGCCCCGGAGCCCCAGGGCUGGAUCCACUUUAUCUGAGCCACCUGCGGCCGACGGCGGGCAAACCAAAGGCACCCAGGGGCUGGGGGAGCCCGAAGAUUUGGCGGGGAGGAAUGAGAGAAACCGAGAUUGGCUGGGAGCUGUCCGAGAGAGUCAAUUGGGGGAGGGAGAAAUCAAAGGGGUGUGGGCGGUGGGCGGCAACAGCCAAGGUCGGGGACGUCGGGGACGUCGGGAUGGGAAGACAGGAGUAGGAUGGGACAGGAACCCAAGGCAUAGAAGAAGGGAUUAGAGGGAUUAGAAAAAAAGCAGAAGAUUGGUGUCGUGAGCUAGUGCUGGGAGAAAGGAAGCGGAUUCGGCAGGCCUAGGCAGUGAAGGUUAGCUACCUCCUUGAGAUUGAGUAGGAGCCCACCUGACUAAAGUCAUUUGGAUUGCUCAUUCCUCUUCUAACCCGCCAAUUGCCACCUCAGGUCCCGCAGUCCUGCGCAUCCUAGCUUUAAACUCAGCCAUAAUUGCCUUGCGUAAGUCCCAGGAACUUGGCCAUUGCUCCUCAGUCCCAGGCGUUAUGACACGAUUCCUUGGUUAUCCCUGACUGGCCUGGGGAGUGAUGGCAGACCGCAAUCAGAGCUCCUUCGUCCUCCUCCAGGCAGCCCUGGGGAUUAAAAUGAAGGCGAAACCAACUCCAGGCCUGUCCUUGUAGCCAAAUAAUGUCGUGCCUGAGGAGUUGGUACACUCAGGGACUUCCAGAAAAAUGCCAGCCUUAUACCUUCCUAGGGUGCCUUUUAAUGACCUCUAAGCACUUUAUGCGCUGUAUCUGUCAUGGAAUAGUGAAUCACGAGAAUCACUCUCAUGAUUCUGCCUCAGAAAGACUCACUGACUAGCCGUAUUACUUCGGGCAAAGUUAACUUUACCUUUCUGGGCCCCAGUUUUCAUCUUGGAAAAUUAGAUCUUGGCGAGGUGAUCUCACAGUCUAUUCUUGCUUUGAUAUUUUAUGAUUUAUGAGUGGCAGAGUGUAGAUUAGAAGCCCCAAUCUCCAACCUACAGUUGGAGUGCUACAGUUCAGAACACACAGCACUUUCAGCAUUUGGGUAGGGCUGAGGAUGAAUAUUUGACACAAAUAUUCAGAGCCCAGGAAGCAUCUCAUAACCAGACUUCAGCCUGAUGGUAUUCCAGGGCUUCUUCCAAACUGCAGUUCCUCCUCUGCCCCGUGGUUUUUGCUCUUGACCCCCACAGACUUCCAGUCUAGGUCCUUUGAGACAGUUUUGGGCAGCUGCAUCUCUGUUGGGGAAAAUAAUGUUUGGGAGCCCCAGAGAUGAAACCAUGUGAGGCUCUCUUUAGGAUAAAGGAUUGUGGAUACGAGAAAUGGAAAACAUUUCAAAUCAAGAAUCAAAGCCAAUUAAGUGGCACCAGAAGAUGGCAGUCUGUUCCAUACCCUGAGCAAGUAGAGUGGGAAAGCUGGACUCUGCUAUCACAGUCAUGCCUUAGGUCUCCCCUCCUGGCUAACCUCUGCUAGUAGUUUUUCCUUUCCUUUCUUGCCCUAUUCCUAAGCUUUUUCCUUUCCUUGUCCCUCUCUCUCAUCACUUUCAUUUUCCUUUUAGCAUACAGGGUAUUCACCUUCGUUUUCUCUUUUCCAUUUGCCUCCAUCUUCGUCCUUGUUGAUCUCUGCUAUUCCUUCUCCCUCCAGAAGGGGUGGAGAACCUUCUUCCCUUCUCCAAGACCAUGGUUGAUCCACCUUCCUUCCUCAGGCUCCUUCUUGACAGUCUUCUAGAAGGGAGAAGAGGGAAAGAAGCAGUUCCUGAUGCAGAUGAACAGCUGCUCCCAGGUAACCAGUUCCCCACACCCUUUUUUUAUCUGUUACUACUUUCUUAAAAAUUUCUGAAUCCCCCUCUUCCUUAUUACCAAGUCAGAGAGUGCAUGCACAUGGGCCCAUACAUGCAUUCAGAACAGAGUAUGGGGCUUGUUACCAUGCCCCUCCUAUCCAAAGCCUUAGUCUUUUGAAGGAAGAUGGCCAAAAAAGAGGAAUCUCGAGUCGCUCCUCAAAGAAAUGCCGGUUUAAACACCAUCCUUACCUGAUGAAGAAAACAAAAAAUUUCAUGCAUCUUGUGGGUCAUCUUCAGGUCAAAGUUCCAGCAGAGUGAAGAAAGAAAUUCCUGGAAGCCACCAAACAAUGCGCUUUUUAGUCAUCGAUGAAGAGCCCAAGGGAGGACGAUGGAGAAGGAGGAGCCUGGGUUGAGGCUCAAUGUAUAAUAAUCUCUUGCCUAAUGUGUAUGCAUUAUUGUCAUGUUGUAUUAACAAUCAUAAUCGCUCACCUUUACUUAGCAACUAAAAUCUGGUGUCGUGCAUGCAUUAUAAUCCUCAGGACAACUCUGUCAGUUGAGAAAUAUUAUCCCUGUUUCAGAGAUGAGAAAACAGGUCAGAAAAGCUAAGUAAUUUGUUCCAAGCUCACGUCUCUGGUAAAUGGCAUAGUUAGGAUCUCCAGAGUUUCUAUGCAUAGCCACGUUACUGUAUUUUUUACUUUAAACAAAACUGAAAACUGCCAUAUAUAAUCUUUUAUUAGGAAAAGAACACAGUUUCUAAUUGCUCUGCCUUCCCAUCCUCCCAGUCUUCCAAACUGGCUCAGAGAAGGCAUAGUACUGAGGGUCCCAAGCUCCAUGCAGGAGCUUGCUGCUCUCUCCUGUACCAGUGUUCUGGCUCUGCAGAAUCAGCAAGGUACCACACUGCCUGCCUGCUAGAGAACUUGGGAACCCAUUUGAACUCCACCUUUUCUGUACAUUGAUUGGGAUUCUCUCCUGGCUGUAACCAACCCACACUUGUUGGUGUGACACCCAACUCCCCGGACUAGUCUGGAACUGACCAGUCCCUAAAGUUUCCACUAAAAGGUAUCCCUGACUCGGACAACUGCCAAAUGGUCUGUGCUUGGGUCCUUUCUGCAAGCCUGGGUAUUAUUGAGUGGAAAUGUAAACUGGUUGGAGACAAGGAACCAAGGAUAAUCCAUUUUUCCCUGAGCUCUGUCUGUAGGAAGUACCAUGGCUCACCCACCCCCCCAUUCUCAGCUUUAGAGAACCAACACCUGAAUCUUCUAGUUCUUCCCAUAUAGAGCUGCCCCAGGGCCUGGGGGUAAGCUGGUGGUGUAAUCUGGAAUGGGAAAUACUAGAAGUUGAAGCAAUCUUUAGAGAUGUGUUACAUAUUAGGCAUUGGGAUGAGUCCUUUCCCCUAAAGGCUGGUGACUAUACGAACUGGAACAAUUUAACAUAUAAUACGUCAGCUGUGGACGAGACAGCACUGUAAGAGAAAACAUUACCCUGGUUAGGGGCUUGAACCCUUGAAGCAACACAGCUGGAACAUUGCCCAUUUCUCUCAUCUAGACCUCAGAUGUUUCCCUACACCAACCUGUCUUAACACCUAUGAGCCUUCUUUUUGUACCUUGUUUCUCUUUAUGAAUGCAGCUCAUUAUUUCUCUUCGUAGUAAGUCCUAACUCCUGAACUUUUCAGUCUAACACCCGCCUUCCUUUGCUUCUAACACCUGUGUUUCUCUGGAGCUCCUCUGGAUCCCUGCAAUCUGCAAGUCAUAUAAUCAGAGACCUGGAAAAGCUUAUCUUUAGAGAUCACUGGGGUCCCUGCUUCAGUACAGAUGAGAACACAGGUCUGGAGAUGGAGUGACUUCAGCAGGGCCAGAGAAUUUGUUAGUGCAGCUGGAGAUGGGGCUUAACCCCAGCCUUCCUGACCAUAUCCCACUCCCAGGCUAGAAAACAGGCUGCUGCACAAUCAGACCUGGGGUUUUUCAUGGCAAGGAUAAUAUCACAAAUGUUUCAUUUUCUGCUGCUAGUUUCCACUCCCUUUUCUAUCCCGGCAUAAAAAGAAACAAAAGGCACUUGUAGUUUUUUCUCUGUUCUCCCAAGCCUUCGCGCUUUGGGUGAUAUUGCUAAGGAACAGUGAAGUUGCUAAAAAAAAAAAAAAAAAAAAGACUGAAUAACCCACCCAUUGACUAGCUAACCUGGAGAGGAAUUGCAAGUUUGCUAUGUGAAUCCCCCCAAACCACAGUUCUCAUCAGGCCCUUGCAGAGUGUCCUCAUUCCCUUCACAGCACAGCCCUGUUCUCUGGGCCCCAAUCCCACCAGCGCUGAGCCUCACUUCAGCUUCCUCAUGCAACUGCCCUCCCUUCUGGUUAAGAGGCCUCAUGUUUGAAAUAAAGAGCACCCACACUAACGUU